This 25-nucleotide non-coding RNA is filed under the name Cricetulus griseus (Chinese hamster). The record is from RNAcentral. Lineage: Eukaryota; Metazoa; Chordata; Mammalia; Rodentia; Cricetidae.
CAAGGACAAAAGGAGCCCCGCGCCG